ACAUUGAACGCCUUCCUAUCGAUGAAUACGCGCCGAUACCUCUACUCCCCUCUCGUUCCCUCUCACUCGUCUCGUGUAUCGGUUUGGACGAGCAGUCGCGCCUUUUGUGUGAUGGCGGAGAUGUGAGAGACGAAGCCCCCUUUUCUUUUCGUCGUUAUCAUUGAUCCUAUUUUUUUUUUUUGGAGGAGGGGGCUUUCCAGAUGGAGUUAUCGUCUUGUUCUCGCUCCGUUUCAGAAGCGAAGCUCUAUGCUCGUCACUGCCCACCUUCCUCGACGAACGGGCACCACAUUCACAUGGCGACUACUUGCCUGCUCGCGUUUCCUCAUGGGCUGCGGUUGCAUUAAGCUCGCGAUGUUUAUCAGUCAUGAGCAGCACGCACAUGAUGUGCGCCCACUUUCCGCGACUGCUACACAAAUAUCGCUGACCCGGCAAUUCACGCGUUUUUUUCAGCCCUCGUGCUCAGGGAGUUUGUCUCCCCUUCCCUCUCUUUCCCAAAGCCGGACCAGGCGCGACCGGGCAGGCUGAAGGUGUUAGGGGUGACUUCACACAUCCAUGUUUUACGUGACCAUGCCCAGGCCAAACAAGCAUAUAUAUCAUGUAUGAUAGAGAGUUUUCUUAUCCGUUGGAGGAGUGGAGGUGCCAUGCGUGAAGCUUCCGCCGUCGCGUGCACCCGCGUCGAUUCCUGCGACUCGGAGCAGAAGUUGCAGAGAACUUAUCUGGGUUGCUGUCCGAGUAUGCCAUCGCAUCGCAUGCUUGUGACACGCAAUAUGCAGACAUCCCACAUAAUCUCUCAUGCUCCACUCUCAUCCAACUCCUACUCUCUUCGGACGCUGCGGUGUCUGAGUUCGUCUGGCGCGUGCUGUAUACGCACCCCAACUGUAUUUGGCCCUAUCGCACACAUCGAAG
Molecule: unclassified non-coding RNA, 906 nt
Filed under: Leishmania donovani
Lineage: Eukaryota; Euglenozoa; Kinetoplastea; Trypanosomatida; Trypanosomatidae
Description: gene:unknown
Source: RNAcentral